This 223-nucleotide ribosomal RNA is filed under the name Escherichia coli. RNAcentral's name for it is "partial 23S ribosomal RNA". It matches the Rfam family "Bacterial large subunit ribosomal RNA", at positions 1158 to 1380 of the family's 2925-position model. Lineage: Bacteria; Pseudomonadati; Pseudomonadota; Gammaproteobacteria; Enterobacterales; Enterobacteriaceae. The record is from RNAcentral.
CCUGCGCGGAAGAUGUAACGGGGCUAAACCAUGCACCGAAGCUGCGGCAGCGACACUAUGUGUUGUUGGGUAGGGGAGCGUUCUGUAAGCCUGUGAAGGUGUGCUGUGAGGCAUGCUGGAGGUAUCAGAAGUGCGAAUGCUGACAUAAGUAACGAUAAAGCGGGUGAAAAGCCCGCUCGCCGGAAGACCAAGGGUUCCUGUCCAACGUUAAUCGGGGCAGGGU